RNAcentral lists this ribosomal RNA (576 nucleotides) under uncultured bacterium. RNAcentral's name for it is "bacterial SSU rRNA". It matches the Rfam family "Bacterial small subunit ribosomal RNA", at positions 102 to 674 of the family's 1533-position model. The record is from RNAcentral.
ACGGGUGAGUAAUACAUCGGAACGUAUCCUGGAGUGGGGGAUAGCCCGGCGAAAGCCGGAUUGAUACCGCAUACGCUCUGAGGAGGAAAGCGGGGGACCUUCGGGCCUCGCGCUCAAGGGGCGGCCGAUGGCGGAUUAGGUAGUUGGUGGGGUAAAGGCCUACCAAGCCGACGAUCCGUAGCUGGUCUGAGAGGACGACCAGCCACACUGGGACUGAGACACGGCCCAGACUCCUACGGGAGGCAGCAGUGGGGAAUUUUGGACAAUGGGGGCAACCCUGAUCCAGCAAUGCCGCGUGUGUGAAGAAGGCCUUCGGGUUGUAAAGCACUUUUGUCCGGAAAGAAAUCAUCGGGGCCAAUACCCCUGGUGGAUGACGGUACCGGAAGAAUAAGCACCGGCUAACUACGUGCCAGCAGCCGCGGUAAUACGUAGGGUGCGAGCGUUAAUCGGAAUUACUGGGCGUAAAGCGUGCGCAGGCGGUGCUGUAAGACCGAUGUGAAAUCCCCGGGCUUAACCUGGGAACUGCAUUGGUGACUGCAGCGCUGGAGUAUGGCAGAGGGGGGUGGAAUUCCACGU